GUUCACAUCUGGGGUAGAAGGCUU
This 24-nucleotide non-coding RNA is filed under the name Cricetulus griseus (Chinese hamster). The record is from RNAcentral. Lineage: Eukaryota; Metazoa; Chordata; Mammalia; Rodentia; Cricetidae.